This 433-nucleotide ribosomal RNA is filed under the name uncultured bacterium. Its description in RNAcentral is "partial 16S ribosomal RNA". It matches the Rfam family "Bacterial small subunit ribosomal RNA", at positions 29 to 507 of the family's 1533-position model. The record is from RNAcentral.
AACGAACGCUGGCGGCAUGCCUAACACAUGCAAGUCGAACGAGACCUUCGGGUCUAGUGGCGCACGGGUGCGUAACGCGUGGGAACCUGCCCUUAGGUUCGGAAUAACUCCCCGAAAGGGGUGCUAAUACCGGAUAAUGUCUUCGGACCAAGGAUUUAUCGCCUUUGGAUGGGCCCGCGUUGGAUUAGCUAGUUGGUAGGGUAAAAGCCUACCAAGGCGACGAUCCAUAGCUGGUCUGAGAGGAUGAUCAGCCACACUGGGACUGAGACACGGCCCAGACUCCUACGGGAGGCAGCAGUGGGGAAUACUGGACAAUGGGCGAAAGCCUGAUCCAGCAAUGCCGCGUGAGUGAUGAAGGCCUUAGGGUUGUAAAGCUCUUUUACCCGGGAUGAUAAUGACAGUACCGGGAGAAUAAGCUCCGGCUAACUCCGUG